GAGUGACACAGUAGGAUAAGCUAACCGUACUGUUGGUUAUGUACGGCUAAGCAUUGAGGCAGUCUAAAUAGGCAAAUCCGUUUAGACAAUGCUAGGAUGUGAUGGGGAAGCCCUUCGGGGCGAAGUAGCUGAUUUCACACUGUCAAGAAAAGCUUCUAUCGAGUUUAAAGGCGCCCGUACCGUAAACCGACACAGGUGGGUGAGGAGAGUAUCCUAAGGCCAGCGAGAGAACUAUUGUUAAGGAACUCGGCAAAAUGACCCCGUAACUUAGGGAGAAGGGGUGCCUGUCUAUGACAGGCCGCAGAGAAUAGGCCCAAGCGACUGUUUACCAAAAACACAGGUUUCUGCUAAGUCGCAAGACGAUGUAUAGGAGCUGACGCCUGCCCGGUGCUGGAAGGUUAAGGGGAUCUGUUAGAGCAAUCGAAGCAGUGAACUUAAGCCCCAGUAAACGGCGGCCGUAACUAUAACGGUCCUAAGGUAGCGAAAUUCCUUGUCGGGUAAGUUCCGACCCGCACGAAAGGCGUAACGAUUUGGGCACUGUCUCAACAAUAGACUCGGUGAAAUUGUAAUCCCGGUGAAGAUGCCGGGUACCUGCGACAGGACGGAAAGACCCCAUGGAGCUUUACUGUAGCUUGACGUUGGGUCUUGGUACUACAUGUACAGGAUAGGUGGGAGACUAUGAAGCAUGGACGCCAGUCUGUGUGGAGUCAUCCUUGGGAUACCACCCUUGUAGUACUGGGAUCCUAACCAUAGGCCUUGAAUCAGGUCUUGGAACACCGUCAGGUGGGCAGUUUGACUGGGGCGGUCGCCUCCUAAAAAGUAACGGAGGCGCUCAAAGGUUUCCUCAGCACGGUCGGAAAUCGUGCGAAGAGUGUAAAGGCAAAAGGAAGCUUGAUUGCAAGACAUACAGGUCGAGCAAGGACGAAAGUCGGACUUAGUGAUCCGGUGGUACCGCAUGGAAGGGCCAUCGCUCAACGGAUAAAAGCUACCCUGGGGAUAACAGGCUUAUCUCCCACAAGAGUCCACAUCGACGGGGAGGUUUGGCACCUCGAUGUCGGCUCAUCACAUCCUGGGCUGUAGUAGGUCCCAAGGGUUGGGCUGUUCGCCCAUUAAAGUGGUACGCGAGCUGGGUUCAGAACGUCGUGAGACAGUUCGGUCCCUAUCCGUCGCAGGCGUAGGAAAUUUGAGAAGACCUGUCCUUAGUACGAGAGGACCGGGAUGGACGUACCUCUGGUGUACCAGUUGUUCUGCCAAGGGCAUGGCUGGGUAGCUAUGUACGGAAUGGAUAAGCGCUGAAAGCAUCUAAGCGCGAAGCCAACCUCAAGAUAAGAUUUCCCACCGUAAGGGUAAGACCCCAGGAAGACUACCUGGUUGAUAGGUCGAAGGUGUAAGUGCAGUAAUGUAUUUAGCUUAUCGAUACUAAUAGGUCGAGGACUUGACCU
RNAcentral lists this ribosomal RNA (1442 nucleotides) under metagenome. Its description in RNAcentral is "bacterial LSU rRNA". It matches the Rfam family "Bacterial large subunit ribosomal RNA", at positions 1467 to 2925 of the family's 2925-position model. The record is from RNAcentral.